This 83-nucleotide transfer RNA is filed under the name Treponema sp. Its description in RNAcentral is "tRNA-Leu". It matches the Rfam family "tRNA". From Rfam's summary of the family: Transfer RNA (tRNA) molecules are approximately 80 nucleotides in length. Their secondary structure includes four short double-helical elements and three loops (D, anti-codon, and T loops). The record is from RNAcentral. Lineage: Bacteria; Pseudomonadati; Spirochaetota; Spirochaetia; Treponematales; Treponemataceae.
GCCGGUGUGGUGAAAUGGCAGACACGGUAGACUCAAAAUCUACUACUCGCAAGGGUGUGUGGGUUCAACUCCCACCGCCGGCA